GAACAGAAAGGGGAAAAGGCCAGCCGAUGCCUCCUCCGCAGACGGAGAUGAAAGCGGCGGAGGAAAUAGAACUGAAAAGAGUGUCAUCAAUGAUUCUCGAUUUGCGGCGUUGCACUCGGAUCCUAGAUUCCGCGAACCACCGCAGAAAAAGUCUAAAGUUACCAUUGAUUCUCGAUUUAAUCGUAUGUUCACUGAUAAAAACUUCGUAUCAUCAAAAGCACCGACUGAUAUUAGAGGCAAACCCCGUAAAUCUUCUGCUAAAAACCCUCUUAACCAUUAUUACCAUAUUGAGGAAGAAAAAGAAGAACAGGGUGAGAAACAGAAGAGGCAGAAGGAGAAAUUAAAGGUGUUAGAAUCUGAAAGCGAUGAUGACAGUGAAGAA
Molecule: unclassified non-coding RNA, 382 nt
Filed under: Hevea brasiliensis (rubber tree)
Lineage: Eukaryota; Viridiplantae; Streptophyta; Magnoliopsida; Malpighiales; Euphorbiaceae
Source: RNAcentral